UAAAGUCAAAUUAAUUGGUUAAAGUUAAUAAAUAAUUAAUAUUAAGUACAACAACUCUACUUAUUAUUGUAAGAGUAAAAUCUUUAUAAAUAAGAUAGGAAUGUGUUAAUGUAACAUUAAUUCUCUUACGAGGCGCUAGCAUAAAGACUAGGAUUAGAUACCCUAUUAUGGGCGUGAGUAAGAAAGUUUAUUAAGUUAAUAGCCUUAAUUAAAGCAAAACCUAUUUACUAUGGCGGCUGUUAGUCUCACCAGAGUCGUAUGUCCUUAAACGAAACUGCGCGAUCAUCUUACCUUUUAACUUUUGCUAAUAUAAAAUAAUUACAUUAUAGCAAUCUGUGGCAAGUCGCUGUACUAAAAGUGAAGAUUUUAAAUAACUCAUUUUUUAAUUAAUUAUUAGCAUUUAUUAAUAACGUACAAGUCAAGACGCCGUUUUAAGAGGCUUAAGAUGUACGAUUUAAUUGAUUUGAUAGAAUUUAUAAGAAUGAAAACUUUCUUUAUUAAAAUAAUUUGGAAGUAAAAUAGGGUUAUUAUUCUUAUUUGAAAUGAGCUACUAAUAAGU
Molecule: ribosomal RNA, 559 nt
Filed under: Pediculus humanus (human louse)
Lineage: Eukaryota; Metazoa; Arthropoda; Insecta; Psocodea; Pediculidae
Description: partial 12S ribosomal RNA
Source: RNAcentral